Molecule: ribosomal RNA, 731 nt
Filed under: Staphylococcus sp.
Lineage: Bacteria; Bacillati; Bacillota; Bacilli; Caryophanales; Staphylococcaceae
Description: bacterial SSU rRNA
Rfam family: Bacterial small subunit ribosomal RNA
Source: RNAcentral
AACACGUAGGUAACCUACCUAUAAGACUGGGAUAACUUCGGGAAACCGGAGCUAAUACCGGAUAAUAUUUCGAACCGCAUGGUUCGAUAGUGAAAGAUGGCUUUGCUAUCACUUAUAGAUGGACCUGCGCCGUAUUAGCUAGUUGGUAAGGUAACGGCUUACCAAGGCAACGAUACGUAGCCGACCUGAGAGGGUGAUCGGCCACACUGGAACUGAGACACGGUCCAGACUCCUACGGGAGGCAGCAGUAGGGAAUCUUCCGCAAUGGGCGAAAGCCUGACGGAGCAACGCCGCGUGAGUGAUGAAGGUCUUCGGAUCGUAAAACUCUGUUAUUAGGGAAGAACAAACGUGUAAGUAACUGUGCACGUCUUGACGGUACCUAAUCAGAAAGCCACGGCUAACUACGUGCCAGCAGCCGCGGUAAUACGUAGGUGGCAAGCGUUAUCCGGAAUUAUUGGGCGUAAAGCGCGCGUAGGCGGUUUUUUAAGUCUGAUGUGAAAGCCCACGGCUCAACCGUGGAGGGUCAUUGGAAACUGGAAAACUUGAGUGCAGAAGAGGAAAGUGGAAUUCCAUGUGUAGCGGUGAAAUGCGCAGAGAUAUGGAGGAACACCAGUGGCGAAGGCGACUUUCUGGUCUGUAACUGACGCUGAUGUGCGAAAGCGUGGGGAUCAAACAGGAUUAGAUACCCUGGUAGUCCACGCCGUAAACGAUGAGUGCUAAGUGUUAGGGGG